CUAUUCUAUUUUAAAAUGAUGCUAGAAGGUCCAGAAGUGAUUAGGUCUCUGGCCCCACUAGAGCUAAAAAUUGUGACCUUCUUAGUCCUUUGCUUCUCUUUCUCUUCUACUCUCUACUUCAUAUUCCUUUCCCUUUUCUCUGUCCUCACUUCUUCCCUCUUUCUUCCUCAUUCCUCUUUUAUUUUUUUCUUUUUUCUUGCUUUAUUACUCUCAUUAGAAGCAUCAUCAUUUGAGUAGUUUGAAAACCUCUAAGAAAAAAUAUUCCGGGAACCUUUUUAUCACUCCUGGAUCUUUACGAACAGCACAGGCAUGGGUUAGUUCCAGCCCUCAGGAUUUACUGUCUUUCGCACUCCAUUUUCUUGCUUGGCUAAAAGAACAGCUAUUUUUGUGGUGCAGGUUUACCCUGUCUCCCUUUUUCUGUAUCCCUAGAGAGAAAGUCUGAUAACCGAGGCCAGACUGCGAUCCCUUCCGAGGACUGACUGCAGCCAAGUUUUGAGAAUGUGUCCUCCUGGGUCUGUGUCAGCAGCUCACUCAGCUCUGCUGGGAAGAGCAUGCCAGGGUCACUCACUGUGCAUUAACCUCAGUGGCUUGCUCGCUCCAUCUCUCGUCAGCUGUUUCUUUUCCGUGAAAAGCACACACAGUUCAGAUAAUUAAACACUUGUGGGGCAUUUUACAUUUCAUGAAUCAAUCAGCAGUGAAUUAUUUUUGAAUGUGCUCAUGCAAUGUACUCCAAGUCUCUUAGCUAUAUUUUGCAAAUGAACAGGAGUGGAUUUAUCAUGAAGCAAAUGAGGCUUAAGUUGGCCUCUUACGUACAGGGGCCCAUUUCAAGGCCCCAGGAGAAUCCCUGGUGAUUUCAUAUUUGUAAUUUAUAUUUUUUCUUAAUGAUACUCUUCCUUCAUCCCCAACACCACUUUUACAAGCUUGAGAUCCCACAGUAACUGAAUCUACCCCUGGGAAAACUAAGACUCUCUUUCUUGUUACCAGGCUAGGUCUUAUCACCAUGUGCAUCAGAUAUUGCUUUGCCUUUAUCACUGAUUUCAGAUGGACAACUUUUGCUUUGUGGGCAGUUUGUUUCUCAUAUAUAGGCCAGCUCACUUUUUCUAAAGAUCUGUCUUCAGAGUGAUGGUGACAAAAAUGUGCCUUCUGAACCCAAACUACAAGGAGCUUAAUUGAUCAAGGGGCCAGCAGCUGAACUCUGAAAAUCCAUCGCCUUAUUUGUACCAAGGCAGUGCUUCCCAGGAGCUGGCUGCUCAUGCAGCAGGAAUACUAAGGCAGAGCUAGUCUGGGGAGAUGUAGGAUUCUUCUGACGGCUGGUUUUGACAUAAGGACUCCCUGACAGUAUUGCUGAAAACUCCUUAAACUUCCUGGCAGUUUAGUAGAUGCUUCUACUUAAUUUUCCUUCCCUUUCUCCUUCACUUGGGGUCAGACUUGUAUAAUGGUCUGAUGGCUUUCCCUGGUUUGUCCCCAUUUUCUGUCACACAGGCAUUUCCCUUAAUAAAAUUCUUAUACUCUGAAUCCUGUCUUAGUGUCUGCUUUAGAAAAUGCAAACUAACACAAUGAGUUAAUAGGAAAAAAUAGGACUGGAUGUUAGAAUGCAUUAAUCAAGUCCCACUGAAUUUUCAGGGAUCUUAGUAAAUUAAAAUUUGAAAAUUAAAAUACCCAUUGUCAUGACCUCCCCAUCUUUCACUUUUGCCCACACUUGAAAUUUCCUUUUUUUGCAUCUAACUAAAUCUUGUUUAUAAUGUGAAUCCCAGCUCCAGUCCAUCUCUUCCAUAGAACCUUGAUUUUCUCUCUUCUGAGUUCUUAUGGUCCUGGCCCUAUGAACUUAAACAUCAUGGUAAUUCUUGAUUAAAGGGUCAGUCAAAUAGUCAAUCUUCAAAAUCCCCUAAGGGCUAGCUCAGGCUAACAACUUCUAUAUGCCCUUCUUCUGUAAAGCUUAUAGACUAGUAUUUUAAAAAUUAUGUUCCAGUAAUAGCAAUAGACUAUGUAUAUUUUAGAAGAGAAAGGGUCCAUGGUCAAAUAAAUUUGGAGGAAAUACCCACCACGUAUAUGGCCAUUUCUCAGAGACUUAACUGCACGCCAGUGCACUAAAGACUUGGAAACAAACUAUGGGAAUGGUUUCAACUAACUCCGAGUUCCCCAAACCUAUUUGAUAUUGCAAACCUUUUUCCAUAAAAUUACUAUUAACAACCACAUGGAUUUAUUUUUUAACAACACAAUUUGAAAAUAUGUGUUGAUAUUUCUGAAGAUAUUUCUUUCAGAGGUGCAUUUGUAUUAAGUCACUCUCUGGAUAUAUUGAAUAGGGGUAAGGAGGAGGCAAGUCAAUUGGCAACAUUGGCAGGUGGGGGAGCUUCUGGACCUCAGCCAUGAGAUCAAAAUGAAAGAGGGCAGGGUAGACUAACGCCAGGUGUGCAAAGCAGGAGCUGGGAAAGCAGGUCCAAGAAUGGCCUGAGCUUAUUCUUACCAGUCAAUGUUUAAAGGGGACAGUGACAGGUUAUUUUUCUUUCUUUACAGGAAUCACAUAAUUAGCACCCGUAGGGAAUACCCUUCAAAGAUGACCCAAGAGCUUCUGGUCAACUGCUUUCCUUUGCAGGCUUUCUUACCAUUUAUACAGUUUCCUUUCCAGCUAGAUUACAAGCCAAGAUUAGGGAAAACGUCUUACCAUUCUUUAAUUUACCUCGGUAUUUAGUAUUCCUUCAUUCUUCCAAUAAAUCAUUAUUAUGCCACUACUGUGUGCCAGACAAUGUUCUUGGUGAUAGAGAUGCAGCAGUGAACCAAACCCAACAAGGUUCCUGUCCUCAUGGAACUUACAUUCUUAUUGGGUAAACAGAUAAUAAACCCAAUAAGCUGAAAUACAACAAAUAUUAGUGGCAAGUGCUAUGAAGAAAAUAAAGUGGGAUAAAGGAUUAAAGAGCACACCAGAGACAGAGUAGAUACCGAAUAAAUAUUGACGGAUUAUGUAGGACUUUUGAAUUGCCUCAGUGAUUUUCUGCAGCCCUCAAAGAGAAUUUAACAGGAGGAAAGUGCCAUUGUGGCUUGCAUAGGUGUGAUCAUUUUUUAAAUGGUGACAAAACCUCAAAAGUGGGCAAUAACAUUGAUGUCUUGUUUCUGCUAUUCAUCAGCAGGCAAACGUUCUAUCUGCAACUGUCAGAACUACAUAUUUAGCACAGUUCCUCUUACUAUUAGCGUCUUCAACAUGCUGCUACCUUCCCCACAUCUUCCUACCCAUUACCCCCUUGUAAUUACUGCAAUCAUUUCAGAUUAAGAUGUUAAAGUCCAAAAUGUUUGUGAAAAAAAUUGGCAAGCUGUCACCUCCAAAUACCCAGCUGAGUUGCCAAAUGAAUAAUAAUGCAAAAAUGCUUGCUGGAAAAAUAAUAAAUAAAAGCUUUUUGUUGUAUAAUAAAUCCUUUUCUAUAAACCACCCCUGAGGAAACUGGCUCUAGGCUAGUUUCCUAGUAACAUUUUCCUCCAAGUAAGCAGGCCAUUUUAUUUCAUUCUUUUCUACACUUUAUUUUUUUCCAAGAGCUGCUGUAUGGUCCUACCCCAUUGUUCUUCAUGAAAUAUGAAUGCCACAGGAGUGUAUGGGGAGAGAUGCCAGCUACAUGGCUGUGGAUAGGAGCCACUAGUGACUAGAGUAAGUGAUUAGUUCAGAAAGUGGCAGCUGAAAAGGAAGUGUGCAUUGUGGGAAAACAGAGUUAUUUUAUUAACCAUUAGCCAAAAGAGAAGACUUAAAAAAAUAAAAAACCCCGAGAGGCUGGAUUUAAGGGCAUCCAUCUUGCCCAUUGCAGAGCAGCUCUGUUCAUGAAAAAGGGGAAGAACAACACAAACCACUUGGGCUGGAUUUGGAUAUUCAUGGAAGGCUCCAUUAUGCUUGGGGCAGACCGUGGGCAAAACUGUACCCAAGAGCUCAUUGUCACAUUUGAGGAAUUGGCGAGGCAUGACAGAUAAUUAGGCAAUAACUAACACUCUGCAUAUACUACGUUGUCUAUGUAUAUAGGAUUGCCACAUAUGUUGUCAUCUCAUUUGAUUCAUCAAAUAAUCCUAGGAAACAGGAUUAUUUUGCCUACCUUAAAGAUGACGCCAUUGAAGUUUAGAGAUGUUAAGUAAUUUUUCUAAGGUUACAUAGCCAGCAAGUGGCAGAGCUAGAAUUCAAAUCCAGGUCUCUCUGACUCCCUAGGUGGGGCUUUAGCCACUCUUCGAAGUUUCCUACUCUUCUUUCCCAGACUCAGAGAAGGAGGCAGAAUCUGGCAAUAGACAAUGCACAUCCUCCUCCUCCCCAGCUGCCCCACGCUCCUACACGAGGCAAGCAUUGUGAGCCAUCAAGGCCACUGACACUAGGUGAGGCCAAAGAGGCCUGGGUGAACUGCUCAUCACCUAUGGGGCAUGUUCACCUGCAGCCACAGUACUGGUAUGCUCAAAGACACAAAAGGCCCCAAAGAUCCAGGAAAGUUUAGCAUCGAAGAAAAGUAGAUGUUAGAAAAAUCCAUGGAAAGCCAGGUUAAAAAUUCUACUAAGGAGGAUCGUUGACGGUUAGUGGAGUGCUAGAGUCAAGUAUGGGAAGAAAAGAGGAUGGUAGGAACCCGUCCUAAAGAAUGUUUAAUAAUAGUUUAUUGGAAAAGUAACUUUGGCAUGGGACCAAUAAUUGAGGUUUAAAAGCAUAGUGUACAAAAACAAAACAAAACAUAGUGCACAUGAGAACGGAGACAUGCUGGUAGAAAACAGGAAGUUCAGGCUUCUGAAAUGAGACAUCAGAACUGGUGAAUUGUGUGUAAGUCAGGCUGGCAGCCAAAGAAACAGCCCGGGAAGGUUGUCGGGGGAGGGGGGAGAUACUUAAGCUCCACCUUCCUCUCACCUGAUUGGGCCUUGAGUGGCUGGGGGUGGGACUAAAUUGGCAGAUGGGCAUCAGCCUGGGUGUGUGGAAACCAACCCGAAUAUGAUUUGAGGCAGAUUCUCUCCCUCCUUCUUUCCCCCAGGUAGGCUAUGUGCUCUAGUUUCCAGAGCCUCCACCUCUGUGCCAUGCCCAAAUCUUUCCUUCUACUGUGAGUCCUAAAAACUCCCCAGGUCUAAUGCUAGUAGAAAUCCUACUUCUUCACUGCAAGAAUUUUUUUUUUUUUUUUUUUUUUUUUUUUUUUUUUUUUUUUUUUUUUUUUGAGACGGAGUCUCCCUCUGUCACCCAGGCUGGAGUGCGGUGGCGCGAUCUCGGCUCCCUGCAAGCUCCGCCUCCCGGGUUCACGCCAUUCUCCUGCCUCAGCCUCCUGAGUAGCUGGGACUACAGGCGCCCGCCACCACGCCCGGCUAAUUUUUUUUUUUGUAUAUUUAAUAGAGACGGGGUUUCACCGUGUUAGCCAGGAUGGUCUCGAUCUCCUGACCUUGUGAUCCACCCGCCUCGGCCUCCCCAGGUGCUGGGAUUACAGGCGUGAGCCACCGCGCCCGGCCUGCAAGAACUUCUCUCUACGUUAGCAAGAAACAAACACUUGAGAACUAAGUUACACUGCUGGAGGAACGAUGAACGUCUCCUUACUGCCAAUUACGUUAACCUUCCCAAUGACUUGUUUUCACUUUUUAAAUAGAAGCUUGUUAAAUUAAAAGAAUGCUUUGCUAAUAGUGGGAUUAUAGGAGAGAAGUUUUUUUGAGAUUGUGGUGAUGGGGCAGGAGCUGUGAUGUAGAUGGGGUCCCUUAAAACUAUUUGUUCUUCUUGUUCAGAUUUUGAUUCAGCUCAUGUCUGUCAAGCCUUUAAUAAGCACCAAGUCCCAAGCUACUUGUCAUCCUCCCCACCAUGAUCAAGGUCUAGAGGAUAGAGGUGGUUUCUUGAAAGUGAGAAAAUGUUUAUUUCAUAUUGUUUUCAACAAGACUAAAUUGGAAAAAAAACCCUCAACAUCCUUUUAGUGAUUUCUACAGUGCUGGGAAUUACUGGCUUUUUAAGUCCUUGUUCUCUACUGUAGAAGCUGCCUACUCAUUCCAAUUGCCUGAUGUUUGCUAAUUAAGCAUCGUUAAAGGAAGAAAUUAACUCAUUUGUUAAAUGCCACCUAAGUUUCUCUGUAUAUUCAGAAAAAGCAUUAAACCCAAUCCUGAGAUGGUAAUUUCAACCUAAUUCAAACUCUUGCUUGCUUUAGGGAUCAAAAUAGUUAUGCUGCAGGUUUACUAAUAUCAACAGUGGCACUGACGACAAUAACGAAUGAUGACCCUGACAAUGAUCAUGAUGCUGAACGCUGUUUGUUACUUUUUAAAUCCUUUGUUUCAAAAACUACCAAAAAUUCUCCACAUUUUUAGAAAUCUUGUAUUGAAGCAUCGUCAUUAGUAUAAUUUCUGAUCAAGUAAAUCCAUUGCUGAGAUGUUUAUGCAGUAUUCUCUGUGCAGAAAAUAAUACAUGAAUAUAGGUAAGAAUCUGAUACAGAUAUUCAGGAUGAGACACUUUUUAAUUGAGAAAAAUAAUUGGACAGAUUUUCAUUCAUUGCACAUCUGUUUUCAAAUCUAUUUACUGUAUUUGUCAUCUCCCUUUCUCCUUUCAUCUCCUUCUUCUCUCCAUUGUCCUGCUUUUUUUUCUUUGGUUCUCCUCUCAUCUUUCACUCUCCUUUUCAGCAAACAAAUCAGGGAAAGAAACAGCUUCCUAGAUAAUGAAUGGUAUUUUAAAUCUGGUUUGUUUUCAGGGACUCUAGUCCUGACUUAAUGUAUCAAACGAAGCUCCAGGAUUUAAUCAAGAAAGGAGGCCAUCAGGAAAAAGAAAAUCAACUCUGAAGCUUAGCUGAAAAUAAUUUGCAUUUUGGGAGCUGUGCGUUAGGGAUGUUUGGUCCAAGCUCUUUCAUGGGGAGAUAAAAUGAAAAUGAUGUGCUUUAUUACUUUGAAAGUCAUACCCUUCUAAUAACAGGGAGAAUAGGAAGCUUUUCUGAUUUAUUCUGCUGAACCAUCACUAUCUGGAGUCAUUUGCACUCAUGGACCAUUGGGAGAACAUUAAUUGACCAAAAAGAGGCUGCUGUUAUUGUCGAGGCAGCAUUGUGUAUCCUUCUGAAAUGGCUGAUCCUGACCUGGGCUCUUGACUUUGCCCCCUCAGACUCUAGCUUUUAUGGGACUGGAUGGAUCUACUGCCAGAGGUCAAGUAGUGCCAGACUGAAAAGCUUUAUCAAUUCCAGAACCUCACCGAGUACCUCCUACUAGGAAAUUUGAAUGUGAACACCUUGGUAACAUCUCAACCACGCACUUGGGAGCUUUUGCCUAUAAUUCAAAGCAAACCGAAAAAGAAAUUAUUCCCACCAUGUUGCAAAAAUUGAAAUGGAAAAAGAACUGUUGAUUCUAAUUCCUCAACCCAGGACUUCAGAUGCCAAUAAUGAUUGCAAAGAAUAAACACCCACUGAGUGCAUCUCAGAAACCGAAUUGUUUUCUUGUUAUUUAACAUUUACAGUAGUAAGAGUGUGUUGGCACUGCUGGGCUCCUGUCAAGAGCCAUUCCUGAAGUCCUCAGUGUUCCCACAGUGAUGGCUGCACGUGUGAAAGGUUAGGAAUCCAGGAAUACUAACAUGGAAAGUAAAUUGUUCCUCCCGUUUCUUUUCUGUGCUGCCCUAGAAAGAUCUUACACCUCUUGUCCUUUAAGGUAAUAGCACUAGUUCCCAUUCUUUUGGGUUCCAUGUAUAUUAGGGCAUCCACAUCUACUGUUAAAAAAAAAGGAAGAAGGAUUUUGAGGAAGAGCUUAAAGGAAAGGGGGUAUUCAAAGAAGAAAAUGCUUCAGGGCAAUUGGGGGUUUCCUUCAGAGCAAAAGGGAGAUUAGAGGAGAGGUGGGAGAGAGAUAGAGAAGGAUUUACCUGAUGAAUAACCCAGAACUUGGAAGUGAUUCUGGGUAGGUCUCUCAAAACAGGAGAAAAUUAUUAUAUUUAAAAAGUGGGUGGCCCUUGAAGAAGAAUCAUUUGAAAAUUCAGAAGCUACCUGGGUGCUGAAUCAUUGCUCUUCUCACUUCAUUUUUGCAAGAAUGAAUAAUUACACAUUCGCCCCAUUGCCUGUGCCGGGGAAUGAUGUAGUGAAGGACUUCAUUUUGUUAUAUGCAGGACUGACCCUGGCUGUGCACUGGGGCAUCUGCUGGCUCCUUCAAAUUUAUUCCUUAUGCAUAUGACCCACCCUUUCCACACCCAACUUUGCUGACUAUGCAUAAAGCCAAAAAAGGAAGGGGCCCUAGUUACCUGAGGUCUGUGUACGUAUGGGAGAGUGAGGGGUAGAAGGAAACUUGGCCUCAUCUCUAUCUGGGGGCUGCUGAAUGCUUAUCACACCCACAAGGGAGGGUCAGUAGCUAAUGACCCCCAUGUUAAAAAUGAAAAAACUGAAACCCUAGAUUGUUAGCCCGUGACUUGCUUUACCUUUGCCUUCUGUUCAGGAGGGAUUUAAUUCUGCUUAAAGUAAAUGGCAACCACAUAACCUGCCAUGUUUUUGGACCCCUUGGUCACCUAAUUUUCCCAUUAGGCUUCAGCCCUGUUGGCACAAUGAGGCUGGACGCUGAGAAGCCACAAGGGCCGGUGAGAGAGAAUGGGAACCACAGUGAAAUGUGCAUUUUUGGGGAGACUCGAUGGAGUGACCCAGAGCCAGCUUAUUGCAUCUUAGAAAGUUAUAGGACAGAAAAUUUAUAUCUUGUAGUUUAGUUUGAAAGUGGGGGAACAGACUAUAAACUAGGAAAACAACGAAGUGCUUUUGAAAAAAUAUUUGCUGAACAUCUUAAGGCAUAGGUUUCUGAGCGUAGGGUCAGUGUUUUUAUUUCUUCCCAGAUACUCUGCCUUUAAAUACAGAUCUAGCGUCUGCUGUAUGCCGUCUGAGACAAAGGUUAAUUUCCAAUGCUUGAAUUAUCCACACCACUUUCGGCCCUUAUCCUGUAGGUGGAAUUUGUGAAACAUCCAAAUAGUCACUGUCAGGCCUCUGAGCCCAAGCUAAGCCAUCAUAUCCCCCGUGACCUGCACAUAUACAUCCAGACGGCUUGAAGUAACUGAAGAAUCACAAAAGAAGUGAAAUUUAAAUGGCCUGUUCCUGCCUUAACUGAUGACAUUACCUUGUGAAAUUCCGUUUCCUGGCUCAUCCUGGCUCAAAAAUCUCCCCCACUGAGCACCUUGUGACCCCUACUCCUGCCCGCCAGAGAACAACCCCCCUUUGACUGUAAUUUUCCUUUGCUUACCCAAAUCUUAUAAAACGGCCCCACUCCUAUCUCCCUUCACUCUCUUUUCGGACUCAGCCCGCCUGCACCCAGGUGAUUAAAAGCUUCAUUGCUCACACAAAGCCUGUUUGGUGGUCUCUUCACACGGACGCGAGUGAAGUUUCGUGCCGUGACUCGGAUCAGGGGACCUCCCUUGGGAGAUCAAUCCCCUGUCCUCCUGCUUUUUGCUCCAUGAGAAAGAUCCACCUACGACCUCGGGUCCUCAGACCGACCAGCCCAAGGAACAUCUCAGCAAUUUUAAAUCGGGUAAGCGGGCUUUUACUCUCUUCUCCAACCUCUCUUACUAUCCCUCAACCUCUUUCUCCUUUCAAUCUUGGCGCCACACUUCAAUCUCACCCUUCUCUUAAUUUCAGUUCCUUUCCUUUUCUGGUAGAGACAAAGGAGAUGUGUUUUAUCCCUGAACCCAAAACUCCGGCGCUGGUCACAGACUUGGGAAGACAGUCUUCCUUGGUGUUUAAUUACGCUGGGAUGCCUGCCUGAUUAUUCACCCGCGCUUCAGGGGUGUCUGACCACAUGGGGACACCUGCCUUGUCCCUUCACCCUUAGUGCCAACUACCGCUUUUCUGCGGGGCAAGAACCCCUCGACCCCUUCUCUCCGUCUCUACCCCUUUUCCACUUUUCUGGAGGGCAAGAAACCCCCAACCCCUUCUCUCCUGUCUCUACCCCUUUUCUGCUUUUCUGGAGGGCAAGAACCCCCCGACCCCUUCUCUCUGUGUCUCUACCCCUUCUCCACUUUCCUGCGGGGCAAGCACUCCCCACCCCUUCUCUCCGCGUCUCUACUCUCUCUUUUCUCUGGGCUUGCCUCCUUCACUAUGGGCAGGCUUCCACCCUCCAUUCCUCCUUCUCCCUUAGCCUGUGUUCUCAAGAACUUAAAACCUCUUCAACUCACACCUGACCUAAACCCAAACGCCUUAUUUUCUUCUGCAAUGCCGCUUGACAAACUCGACAGUGGUUCCAAAUAGCCAGAAAAUGGCACUUUCAAUUUUUCCAUCCUACAAGAUCUAAAUAAUUCUUGUCCUAAAAUAGGCAAACAGUCUGAGGUGCCUGACGUCCAGACAUUCUUUUACACAUUGUCCCCUCCCUAGUCUCUGUUCCCAGUGCGACUCGUCCCAAAUCCUCCUCCCUUCCCUCUCACCUGUCCCCUCAGUCCC
Molecule: long non-coding RNA, 10331 nt
Filed under: Homo sapiens (human)
Lineage: Eukaryota; Metazoa; Chordata; Mammalia; Primates; Hominidae
Description: long non-coding RNA NONHSAT219123.1
Source: RNAcentral